This is a long non-coding RNA of Ictalurus punctatus (channel catfish), 17398 nucleotides long. Lineage: Eukaryota; Metazoa; Chordata; Actinopteri; Siluriformes; Ictaluridae. The record is from Ensembl.
CUGUAUUAAACGUAGCACUUCCUCGUCCUCUGGAGCGCUCGGGUCCUGAGAACGGCUGUAAAGUAUGCGAGUGAAGAUUCUCCCACAUUGCAGAGGUUGCGGAGAGGUCGUGACCUCUGAGGGGAAAGGGGUCAAGAGCGGGCACUCCUCUCCACCUACCGGGCGCAAAACUUUUAAUCAAGCGCCCGUCAAUCACGCUGGAAUUUCACUGCAAGCUUGCACAGAUGGGAUUCGGUUCCCUUUCUGGUGCUCUUGUGUGUGUGUGUGUGUGUGUGUGUGUUUCGCAGUGAGUAAUACACUGUGUUCAGGUCACUGCUGGUGGAAACCGUCGUUCCAAAUGAUGCUUAUCCGCCUGCGUGUUAAAAGUCUGCUGCGUUACGGCAUUGCACGGUAUUGCAUCAUGGAAUCAGGAUGCAUUUGGGGCAGGAUGUGUCUUUCUCAAACGCUUCAAAUAAGAAUAAAAAAACCCCCGGCUGAAACGUUCGUACGUCGAGGUUCGGAUUCGGAGCGUUAUUAUUUGCCGUCGUUAUUAUUCGAAUUCUCCUCUUGGAUGAAUUUGGCGACGACGAGAUGUUUUUCACCUCGUUAAAAAGUGACGCUUUUUAUCCAUUUAUAGUUACGUUUAAUGUUGCGGAACAGCCCUGAAACGAGUUCUGGCGUUAAUAAUAAUAAUAAUAAUAAUAAUAAUAAUAAAAAACAACAACAGCUAGUCACGUUACCAAGAAACCGCAACGUGUAAGACUUUCCUGUAAAGUCAAAGCUUUACGCGCUGACACUGGAGACUCCUUCCGUAAGUGCUGCAUAAACACCUCCUCUCAGAACACUUCACACUACCGGCGAUUGCACGCGUUUUUUUUUUUAUCAGUUCAUGUGAACGAGCUGUUGCUAUAGAAAUGAUAACGUGUUUGGAUGAGCGUGUUGAUAUAAACCUGUCAGAGCUGCUGCUCUAGGGAAUUAAUCAACACCUCCUGACCAAUCAGAUUCCCAGAUCCCAGGGCUGGCGCGUUGUAUGGAAUGGUCACGUGUUCGAUACGAGUCCUGAAAAUAGGAUCCUUGUUGUUUCUUAUCGACAUUCUUUCCAUUCUUUCCGUUCCUUUUGCUCAUCCCUCUCAUCUCGUCGCUCCAGGCCGUCCGCGUUUGAAGUGGUCAGCGUCAGCGGUCAGUCCUCUUUCAGCUCGUCUCUUGUGGAGGGCCGGGCGGAGGAGUGUGUGCUGGAGUGGCACUCGGCUCGUCCGCUCGGCUCGUCCCCUCCGCCGCCUCUUUGAUGCCUUUAUUCGGCGCUGAUGCUCAUUCAGCCGUUAGUCGAGUGGGUGGUGAUUGUUAAGAGGCUCUCAGAGAGGCGAUGCCAGUCCUCCUGCCCACUCCCCGCCUCCCUGCCUCGCCCCCCUCCCCGGGGGGGUGGCCUCUUACUCCGCGCAUCCUUUCAAGUGCGCUUCGAGGCGGGAGGAGGAAGAGCUGGAGCACGCACUGCCUUUCUCUUUUGUUUUAGUUGAUGUUGUUGUUGGUGUCAGUGUCACUUGUAGAGGGUGAAAAGAGUGUGUAGGUUGAUUCGCAUUCAUUCAUUCACUCACUCACACACACACACACACACACACACACACACACACCAGCCUCCCAUUCAUUAAAGUUCAUUCGCAUUCCACUGGAGGCAUUGAAGUUUUCUCAUUCAUGAAGCUUCAGCAUCCUGUAGAGCUCAGCAGGACAUGUAUCCUUGUAUGUAAAUAAGCACACACACACACACACACACACACACACACACACACACACACACACACAUACAGAUCUAAUAUAAUACACAAAGACACACCCACACCCUAGGGUUUGUUUCAAUCUCUGCAUGGGAGACAGCCACCUUACUGCAACAAAAGACGUCACUGACAUCGACUUUCCUACAGGAAAUGGAUUAUAUAAGGAGCGUCACGGUCAUUUUGUCCGAGCGGAUCUUUUGAUCUGGGGCGUGCGAGUGUGCGAAGGACGUAUAUAGUGAGCACUCGUCCUGAUCUCACCAGGUUUUUUCACCGAGAGUAAAAUAAACUUUAUUUACUUUUGCGGUCGUCUCAAAUACAAUAGAAUGCAACACAGUGCAAUAGUAUACAAGCGUAGAUAGGAGUGUGUGUGUGUGUGUGUGUGUGUGUGAGAGAGAGAGAUCAAAGUAAGGUAGCUUCAGUAAGGUACACAGACAUUAUUAGGCAGAUUGGCUCUUUUAUAGUGUAAAUGGUUUCUCGGGCAGCUGGUCUGUGACGUCCGUGUUGAACUCGUCCGCUCCCGUUUCCUCUCAGCCGCGGCGUAACGGACGCUUUAUCGUCGCCUUGCGCGUUUGUCGUCUUUGGGUUUUUCCUCUCCGGCCCUACAGACAUCCUGCUGCGUUUCCCAGAGUAUCAUGACAGCUCUUUAGCAUUUCCUUUACUGCGAGGAGACGGAAAGAGACAGAAACGAGGUGGUCGAGAUGCGCAGCCGGGGGUCGGAGGGUUGUGAGUUUAACGCUCCGGCCACACGCAUGCACGUAUUUCUGAAAACUCUGUGUUUUCACACACACGCACAAAACCUCUCUUGGUAUUCUGUCGUAAACUGUAAACACGUUAUCAAGUGAGAACACAUUUUUGAAAACAUUGUUUGACCCAAAGUGUUGACAAAAUGCAGCGAAAAAACCCCACGUUCUCAAAAAUAUCUGUCUACAUGUGGGCGGGGCCUGCGUCAGGUAUUACUAUGUAUCCUCCUUAGUUUUUUUUCUUCUAUGGAUUUGUACCUACAAUGUUAAUAUACUAUAGCUAGUUAGUUUUAUUAAUAUAUUAUAUUAUAUACCUAGUUUUUUAUAUUAUAGGGUUUUUUAAAAAAAAUAAUAAACAUAUCAAUCAAAAGUGAGCUGUAAUAUCACUCGAGUCGCCUCUAAUGCACAGUUCCCGCCUUCAAACUUCUUUAGGCCACACCUCCUGCCUGAGACUGUGUGUGUAUGUGUAUGUGUGUGUGUGUGUGUGUGUGUGUGUUGGGCAGAACUAAUUCCCUGGGUAAUUAAUCACCUGUGCCUGUCAGUCCCGGUAAAGGAGGCGUGGCUUGUCCUAGUUUUGAGCAGUUCGUCUGAGAUUUACAGGCUUUUCACGUGUGGUUUUGACCACCGUGUGAAUUUCGACACUCGAACCCAAAAGAAAUCUUUCAGCCCUGGAAACCGGGGAAGAAAAACCCCUCGGGCAGACGUCAGUACAAUGUUCUGUGUCAGGUUAAACGGACAUAACGGUCAAAAUAAAGUAAACCGCAGUGGUGCCGUAGUUCUACUGCAGUAACGCCGCUUCCUCUAAUCCGUAAUUCAGCCCUUAUUGCUUUAGACACCGGGAUCCAUUUCCUCGUUGAGACGUUUAGAAACGUCUGUCAGUCCUCAUCGGGUUCCUGGUUGUGCCCCGAGGACUUUGGCGGCGUGUUUGGCGUUAAGGUGGGGAUUGCGUAAGCCGCGGCGGCUCCAAAAAACGCCGCCGAAGUCACAGAAAGAAUCGUUUCAGUCGCUGCUAAUCGGGGCUGAGUUGUGAGCUAAAGUGCGUGUGUGUGUGAGGAGGUGAGAGAGUGAGACCACUGUGUGGAUUCGGGUUCUUGCGGUUUGAAGUUUCACUCGCUGCUCGGAAAGCUUUUACGACGGUCUUUAACGAUGUAAGACAAACCGCACGUUCCACAAAUCGUAGACCAAAUCGUGUAACUCGGAGGAAAGUCCUCGCGUAUACACCCAGACACCACAGCACUCUCGUUACACAGCGUUCCUCAGAGGUGCUUUCACUGCUUAAACUCUUCUUUAAGAGCUUCCUGUCUGUUGCGCGGCUCCGUUGUGCCCGAGAAACCAACCCAAGCGUGGUACCUUCUUAGAUUUCUGAAGGAUUUAACAUGCAGGAACGAAAGACAACAAAAAAGGGUUCCGGGAGAACUUUUUCUGUGAUACUCGCCCUCACACAGUUCUGUGCUUGAGCUCGUCUCCUGCUUGCUCUCUCAUUAGCAUCGUACUCCGUUUGCACUGGUAUGGUACCAGUGCUGGUUCUGAGUUCAGCACCAAAUCUCGCCAGACUCCGGCGCUCUCGGUUUCCGUAAACAUCGGCGUUCACCGUACAAGUCCCUGUGAGCGAGCCGUCACUAUAGAGACGAUGACGUAUUCAAACAAGCGCGCUAGAAUGAAAUGGAAAGAUCUGUCAUUCCCACAUCUGAUCACGUUGAAGUUCGGCUCCUGACGUGAUGAAAAGCGGGUCGGUUCUGAACCCGAGAGCCUGGAGUUAAACCUCGACUGCUCUGCUCUGUUCUUGGAGAGGAUUUGUUUGCAAUAAAAGUUUCUGCCAAAUGAAUAAACACGAAGAUAAAACGCCAGACUGUGAGAACGAACUGUUGUUCGUUCUUUUAAGGAAUUCCAGCACGGUUCUGAGUGACGGCAGCACCCGGGUCGAUUCUGGGCCUCGUGAUUUAUGACAUUUCAUUAAACAUUUGCAUGCACGUCGGCCAAAUCCAACACCUUCCUUCCCUCAUCUCGGCCACGUUCUCUCUGCCAGAGAAAGAUGUGUGAAAAUGAUCAAACCGAACAGGAAACCUGUCCACCGGAGGGAAUAUAAGGGAGUUAGAACCUGGUACUGGGAAUCGUUUGAUCUUUUCUGAUGGAGGUCGUUGAUGUCUUUUAAAUCUUUAAGCUGACAUUUUAUCCACUCGCAAUUCCUGCAGGGGAAAUGAUUCCCCGUCUCAUCUCCCCGUCACCUUUCUCCUCCGUCCGAGUCCGAACGCAUCACGUCUGCGUCUGCGUCUCCACGUCUCGGCUCGAGGACUCGGAAACCGGAGCCGCGCGUCAGCUCUGGACGCCCUGAGUCCUGCGGUGCAGCUGGGUCUGCUCGUGCCAGACGCUGCCGGAUCUGCAGCACACACUCGUUUAUUAGUCUGAUCUGAAAGGGAAAUAAAAGCCCGGGCACGUUUCCAGUUUUUAACGUCUGCACGCACAAACAUCUCACGAAAUGUUGGAUAUGUUUUUUUUUGUUUUUUUGUUUUUUUAUCAAACAUGCAGGAUGAUGAUUAAAUACGGAUCGAUAUUAAACAGGUGUUUACGUUUAAUCUGCGUUCUCAUGGAUGGGGUGAGUGUUUUAUUAAAUUCAGGUGAACAUGGAGGGUAAACCAUAAUAUAAAUAUUAAAAGGGAUGUAGAAAUUCGGACAUUUUAAUAGAUCGCGAGUCUGUUUUUGUUUGUUUAUUCAGUUAUAGUGCUUGUUGCUGAAAUGUAAAACUUAAAAAAAAAAAUAUAUAUAUAUAUAUAUAUAAAUAAAUGUUGAAUUGUUAAACUAAAAACUGUAAUGAAUUUGUAUUUAUUAUCGGUGUUGGAGAUGUGAUGGUGACGGUGAUGGUGAUGAAACGCUGGAUCGGUUCCGGAUCGGAUUUUCUGCUUUAACUCUUUCACUAGUAGCUGAUACUCGGAGCGCUGAUUUUUGGAAACGUGGAGGGAAUGUAAAGCCGUAAAGAGAUUAGUGGAUAGUGAAUAGUCAUUUUUAGUUAUACUGAAGUCAGGGUGUGGUCUGAGACUGUGUGUGUGUGUGUGUGCGUGUGCGUGUGUAAGAGAGAGAGAGAUAAAGUUGCACAGUAAUCCUGUUUAAUGAAACUCAUUUCUCUGUAAUCCACUGACAACUCAAAUGAUACGCACACACACACACACACACACACACACCGCACCACCCUGUGUGUGUGUGUGUGUGUACAGUAUCUGCAUAGAACUUGUAUGAGAGGUUCCCAUAACCGUGUGUGUUUUUAACAUCUCGGUAUAAACACUGAACCUUUCCUUUCUUCCCCUCACACGUUGACGGCCGACCCGUCUGUUUCUUCCUGACCCACGACUAAAACCGGCUCCGCUUUUGGCAGCAUGAGUCUUGCUUCCCACCUGCGGCUCACCUCACACGCUCGAGUCGUAUCCUUCCAUCUUGUUUUCCGUCCUCUGAGCCUUAUUUUGUUGAAAUGUGCAUAUUCAGGAACGUGGAGGCUUCUAGUGUUUCACUGCCUCGGUGUGCGACUUCCACUGGAACGGAGUUUCACCUUUUAUAGCCGUUCGCUGGUCCUAAAUCACUCACUGUGUGUGUGUGUGUGUGUGUGUGUGUGUGUGUGAGAGAGAGAGAGAGAGAGAGAGAGAACUUAUGUUCCUGAUCUUGAUUUGAUUGAUUGAGCGCUGCAUUAACCGCUACAGAAAUUAAUUGAGCUUCUCUUCAACGUCUUGCGUCCCUCCAUUACCCCCCACCCCUCCUCCCCCCUCCCCCAGGAGGCAGCUUGCGGUCGCUUUUUCAUGAUUGGUCGAGCGACUGAAGUGUUUUGGUUGAAAUAUGGCCAGGCCGUCACUCCCUCUACCUGCCGCUUAUCUCUCUGCAGAAAUUCACGACGUGGAUCUCUGGCCCUCGCCCAGAUCAGAUUUGCAUAUCACCCUGUGUUCAGAGAGCCAGGAGCCUCGAUUCGAUCGAGAUAAAGUCGUUAAAGGUGGAAGUGGCGAGGACUGGCGUGUAAAGAUCAGAGCGGAUCGCACGCAGCUUGCAGACCAAACCCUCAGCAGCUUCUCACACGCAACAAGGGACAAACACCGUUUUUUGUUUACUUUCUCAUCAGGAAAUGCUUUUUCAGUUUUUAUCUCGUGAUAAGUGCGUGAUACGAAACAUCAUGGGUAGUCUUUCAAACCCAGAGACGUCGUAAAUCCGCCAGGUUGUACAGAUUUACACUGAGAAAAUGGCCUGUUUUUUAAAAAUUUCAUCAGACCGAAUAGUUUUCAUUUUAUAACGAAUUUAAAACCCGUUUGGGUGAAAUGAGAGAUUCUUAUCUGGCAACCCUAAAGGACGAGUUUCCACUGAUAUCAUCUUACAAAAGAACACUUCACGACCCGAUACAAGUUACGAUAUUAACUUGCUAGCUAGCUAUCUAGAGGUGAUGUAGCGUAUGUACAGUUACUGAAUCGAUAGAUUCUAAGCUAGCUAGCUAUCUAGAGGUGAUGUAGCAUAUGUACAGUUACUGAAUCGAUAGAUUCUAAGCUAGCUAGCUAUCUAGAGGUGAUGUAGCGUAUGUACAGUUACUGAAUCGAUAGAUUCUAAGCUAGCUAGCUAUCUAGAGGUGAUGUAGCAUAUGUAUAGUUACUGAAUUGAUAGAUGAACCACUUUAUUCAAUACCAUAUUUUACCAAACGCUUUAUUUUAUACAGUAGAAUAGAUUUUAGCUAACUACCAAGUUGACUAGCUAGCUUAUUCAUUGGCAAGCUAACACAAGCUGAUGAUUUCAGUCUGAUCCUGUCUAAAAUAAUGGGGUGUAAUGUUUUGGACUGAUGCGUCAAAGUAAAAGGGAAACGUAGAAAUGAAUCGCAACAGCUUGUGUGUAAAAAUAAAUAAAUAAAUAAUCUGAUUUUUAAACUGUAAACAGGCUAGCAAGGUGAUUUACCAUUCUGUACAUCAUCAUCGUUCUUGAAUUAACGUUACUCCUACCCCAGAUUCUGAACAAAGUCGGUCACGUAUCAAUCACGUAUCGACGCAGACUCGACGUCUGAGGUUAAGAGACCUACUCUGAAUGUUACAACAAACAGAAUGAAGGGAUCGACUGUAUUUUGGGAGCACAAACCUUGCCAAAAUCUCCCUAGCAAUCUUGCGCAUGUGAAUUUUUGUGACUUAUAAUCAGUCACGGCCUCACGUCUGUCCCCGGAGCCUGUUGCUACUCGUUUUACGUUUCUGAAACGUGAAAGUCGUGUGCGUGUAAUCGUCUCGGAAAUGCCCUCGGGUUGUAUUGCGCACAGCUAGAUCUGACGUUCCAGCUUUCCCUUCAUUCCGAAGCUGCUUUAUCUCCAGCGUUUUAUUGGACUGACUGUAUAUCUAUGGCCGUUUAUGAGCCUCUCCGUAUUUGGACGCCUGAACAGGGCCAACAAUAACACGGCAUAUUAAUUGCUAACUCUCUGGCUUGCUGGCUUUGUGUGCGCUUGGCAUCGGGUGGGAAGGCCAUUAAUCUCACCCGGCGAACAAGGGGACGCUCUCAAUGGAUGCUGUUCCGCCCAUUUUAUGCUUCAUUCUCAAAACCUGGAAAGCCACUAAAGAGUGUGAGAAAGAAAGAGGUUCCUCUUAACUUGAUCUUUCCGAAGCGUGACCGGAGACCCUGAUAGAGAGAUCUUGGCAUCGGUGGACGAGGGAAGGAGUGCAUUUUACCCACUGCUGAAACCAAAUGGGGGUUUAAACGUAUUUGUGCUUGUUCUUGUACAGUUUGUGCGCUGUUUAAUCGCUUGUCACUUGAGUUUGCACCAAAGUGUUACGAAGUCUAAUGAUAGAGUGGGGUUUGUCAACAUUAAGUUGUAAGCUUAAACGCAAAGUACAGCUGGAAGACACGUCAGGCGUGGGUAUAAUGGAAUUUUGGCAUUAAAUAUGUGUUGGGGUGUACAGGGGUGCACAUUUUUGGCGUGUUGAAAAGCCAGAACCUCGAGUGUCGAUGUGGGGUUCUUCCUGGUUCUCUGGUUUCCUCCCACCUCCCAAAAACAUUGGCAGUGGUUUGGAAAAUCUCUAAAUUUCCCCUGGGUAUAAAUCCGUGUAUAGAGUGGUUACUGGAGGCCAUUUACUUUUUCACUAUGUCGAAGUUGUUAUUCUUUGAGCCCAACAGGAAAAUGGCGCCUUCGUUUUAAACGUCCUUCUUCUCACGUGUCUUUGCCCAGAGGGACUGACAGCUUUGGGUCAGGGGUCAGCCACGAGGUCACAGUUUAGGAUGUCUGCCGUGUCAGUCAAGCACGAUUGGAUGGCGUGUCUGCCAAUCAAACCCCACUGGAACGAGCUCUGACAGGUUCUCAGGAUGGAGAUUUUUAUUAAGGUAGUCUGGGGCUGGAGGAUAUUAUCGGUCUGAUCUUGACGGACGUAAAUCUGCAGGUCUGUCUUUGUUGUUUAUCUUUUACCUGUAAUGUGUGAGAAGGGUAAAGGCAAGAGCACACCACCAUGACGUUCUUCAAUCUGUGUGUGAUUGCCGAGAAAUUUUUACACUGGUUUGUUCAGUCCUUUGGGCGUGUCUGCUCCUCUGCUAAACAUUCUACAGCUAAAUCUUUUUGCUUUUCUUUUUUGGUGUGUAGGGGAAAACAUGACCUUGCCUCCAAGCCCAAGUGUGUGCAGGACAUGUGUGCACGAUGUCAUAUAAGGGUACGACUUGCUCGUGCCCCAGAGCUCACCCCACGGCUCAGAGGAUUAAUGUCAGUCUGUGCAGACAGCAGAGGAAAGAGAUUGAUUCUAUUACAGGAGCUUUCUACAGCUCGGGAACGCAGCAGGGGACUGCAGACCAAGGUAGAGAGGAAGUGACCAAAUCUUGCCCUCGGGUUGAACAUGGAGACUUGAUGCCAAGUUUGCUCAAAUAACAUCACAGACCUGCUGAAAAGGCAACGAAGCAAUUGGGAAUAUGAAAAUAGAAUAUUGUGUGUGCAUGAUUAUGGGUGUAGUGAUGCACAGAAGCACCGAUGUAUUCAUUGUAGUGUUGGGAUUUUUAAAAAAAAAUUGGGUUAGUCAGAAAAUCUGACUAGGGUUCCUCAAGGGUUCUUGGGAUGGUUUCUAAAGCUUUCUAAAGGUGUUUUGGAUCAUUAUGUGAAAAGACAAGCCAUCUGUUGUAGAGUAGGGUUCUACACCGAAUCUUCAAGGGUUCCUGCUGAUGCUACAAACCAAAUUACCAUUUAGGGCUUUCUAAAGGUGCUUUGUAACCUUUUAUGAAAGAAAAACCAUCUGUUAUAGGGUUCUAUGUAGAAUGCUUACGUGUUCCCACCAGGGGUACAAACUGUUGGACUCCUUAUGGCUUUCUCAAGAUGUUUUGGAACCUUUAAUGAAAGAGAAAUCAUCUGUUUUAGGGUUCUUUUCAAGGGUACAAACCAAAGGCCCGCUUACGGUUUCUAAAGGCACUUUGGAACCUUCCUUAAUAAAGACACCUUCUGUUGUAGGGUUCUACAUAGGAUUUUUUUAAUGGUGCCCACUGGGGGUUCAAACUGAAGGACCACUCGGGGCUUUCUAAAGGUGUUUUGGGUCAUUUUAUGAAAGAGAAGUCAUCUUUGUAGGGUUCGACAUAGAAUCGUUAAAGGGUCCGACUAGGGGUACAAACCGAAGAACCCUUAAUGGCCUUCUAAAGGUUCUUUAGAACCCUUUAUGAAAGAUAGAGUUGAAGGGUUCUCGUCAGGGAUGCAAAAUGAAGGACCGUUUAAGGCUUUUUAAAGAUGUUGUGGAAUCUUUUAUCAAAGAGAAAUCAUCUCUUCUAGGUUCUACAUAAUAUCUCUAAGGUAGUGCAAAACGAAGAACCAUAUAGGGUGCUAAAUGUGUGUAAAAAAUUAUUAUUAUUAUUAUUAUUAUUAUUAUUAUUAAAGGUUUUCCUCAAAAUUCCAGUGCAUCAUUUAACUGUUCUCAGCUUCCUAAUGAUGUACUAUUACCUGGGAACCAUCUCUGAUAUGGGUUUGCAUACGGUUAUUUAAGAAACCUUCAAUUAAUUUUACAAGUGGAGUGUAUGUUUAACGUGGUUACUAACCUGUCCAUCCAAUCCAUGUGUCUGAAGAUAAAUUCGGAGCUUUUAAAACAAGUCAACAGCACGAAACAUACUCCGAGACGUGGAAGAUAGUGAGACGUGGGAUGUCCCUCUUGGAGAAUCCCACAUAGAACCCUACAAAAAAUGUGUCAGAAAGGAUUUCACGGAUGCUACAAACCCUGAACUACCCCAAAACCUUGAAGAACCCUUUGUUUACCCUCAGAGUGUAGCACCUUCAAGAUGAGGCCAAAUUAAGCCAUGAAGUUCUGGAUGUCUGGUGGAGGAUUUGGAUGAUGAAAGCCUUGGACGGGGGAGGCAGUGGACUUGCAUGCCAAUGCUUAACUUAAAAAAAAAAAAAAAAAAAAACAGGAGGGGGAAAAAAGCUGUGGAAUUAUGGGACCACUCUAAUCUGUGCAGAUGUUUAGGAAGACGAAUGGAGCUCCGAUCUUGCCUAUGCCCUGCAAAGAACGAGGCCAAUGAACUCUUAAGUGCAUUUGGGAGUACACAUAGGAAGAGAAAUAUGGCUUGGCUGGUGUCCUAAUAUUCCACAGGGUUCUCACUAAAUUCCCAGUGUAGCGCAGAUAAAGCCCAGCGGAGUCAGGGGCUCUGGGUUACGUCUCAAUGUUUAAUCUAAGUCUCAUAUGGGAUUGAUUUUAUACGGGGUUUGGAAGCUUUGAAUUAUAGACGUCACAGUAAAUAAAAACCUCUUCACUUUUCUACGGUGUAUUUUUAAAUAAAAAAAUACAUUUUUUUGCCAAAGUUUUUUCUUUGUUUUGAAAAAUGUACGGGUAAAAUUUACCUUCACAGACAUAUUCGAAAUGAUGGAUUACAGUUUUGAAGAAAAAAAAAAAAAAAAAACCCUCUGAAUCCUAAAUACAAAUGUUCAAAUCUGCUAGCGUCCACGACGUGAAAUGAAUUGAAGAGAUGUGGAGUAGAGUCGAGUCAAAAUGGAUGAUGUAAUCUUCCACUUAGCAAGUUCAAAACAAAGAAAAAGCACUGUACAAUUUACGAAAUAAACCACAGAGAAAAGCUCAUUUUCUUUACAAAGGUCGAGAUAUAAUGCAUGAAGCAAAAGCCUAAAAUCUAGCCGGUUGCCUUUUUCCAAAGUCGUACUCUCAGUGGGGGUUUUCUGAAGGAUUUGGAAGAAAGUUGAAUGUUGAAACGUGAAUCUUUCUGUGAAACGGCACUGAAUCGUUUCGGUUCUCUCUGCUCGUUGUGCUCCGGGGGAAUGGGAGUCGGGCGUAUUGAGUGUUUUCUGGUUGGACGCAUGGCUCUGGGAAAACAAGAUGAUUUCCAACAAUUGCUAAAUGCCUCUGGGAUCUGUGUGACCCACUGUGUUCGUGUGUUUCUGAUUGAUGAACUCGCUCGAAGUGAAUUUUAUAUUGGACAGGGAUGGCAGUUUGUCCCAGUUUGCCUUGUGACCUCACAAUGGAGGCCAAUGUUGUUGUUAUUUUUUUUCUUUUUACAUCAUUACUCGGUCGUGGAAAUCGAUAGAACCUUUGGGAAAACCUUUCUAUUCUCUCUAACCGCGUCCUCUGCACAGAAACGCCGUCCUGGGAGCUUUACGACGCCACGUAUGUGUCCGAGAUCGAUUUGUCCACGGCUUCCAUGUGUCUCCGUUUCUGCUCGGAGUCUGACAGUAGUGUUUCGGAGAGCUCUGGGUAACUUCUUGUCAUCUGAGGCUUUAGUUCGGGUGAUGGAGCUUCAUUAUCUGUCUCAGACGGGCUUGUUAAGUGAGUGACACUGAAGGAACUUGCGUCUGUGUGCCUCGGACGUCUAAUCACGCAGUUGAUAAGCGUGGUAACGAUAACAGCAGAGAUAACUCUGAUGGACUUCUCUAAGUGGCUAAUAAGAGAGGCUUACGGUGUCAGGGAUGGAAAGAAGACCACCAAAGGUGUGGUGUCCGUUCAGCUUCUUGAACUAUAAAAAAAACAAAUCCUAAUCUUAAGAACAUUUUUUUUUAAUCCUUGGCUGAGAUAGAAAAAGGUCAUGGACUGAUGCAGAGAUGAUGAGGUAGAGUCUGAUUUUUGGAUGGAACAGCAAGUGUAAGAUCUGUGAUUAUCCGCUGCUUUUCUGGUGAUGUCAUCUUUAUGGAAGAUUUAAGAAAAAGCUAAAUGGAUAUAUAUUAGGAUCAAGAGUCGUGUUCGAGUGGCUGUUGUUGUUGUUGCUUCUGGGAUUUGAACUCACAACCUUAACCACUGUGGCGUAAUACUCGACCCAGUACUGUGAAGCAGGGAUGCACACCAGAGCAAACACUCUACAUUCCAAAGUUCUUUCACACCAAACUUCAGGAUGUGAAACGUGGAUUUUUCCAGACCGGACAGCUAUGCUAAGCUAACACGCUAAGCCUGCACCCUGUUGACUUGCUGUUGAUCAUCAUUAAAAUUGGCCCACUUAAGAGAAUCACUUAAGAGUGCUCAGUCGCUCACGAUCGAUCUCUGGAUUGUGUUCAUGGAGCCAAACGAGGCCAGCUGGAUGUUUUUUAUUGAUUCAGCGGUGUCAAGGGCCGAGAGCCACCUCACUUGUCCCUGCUGAACAGUCAGUCUUGUGGAUGUUCUGGUUCAUAGCCUGAACGUAUCAAAGCACAGUUAAAAAAAAAAAGCAAAACCCAACAACAAAGGUAAUUCACCCAGCAGCAGUUUGCAACACAAACGAGAAUGAAAAACGGUUCUUUUCCCGUCGUGUGGAUCACCUGCUCACCGAACACCGAGCGGUGACGAAUUGCACCAAUCUGAGGCCCCGUUUCGAGUUUAAACGCUCUCAGAUCUCCUAAGAUAACAUAACAAAUAGCAGAUUGAACCCACUAAUUGUGGCAUGUUUUUGCGGUGAAAAUGUAACAUUCUAUACCUUAUCAUUUUUUCCCCCUUCUAUUUGAAUUCAUCUCGCUAUUCAGAAGUGAGAUUCAACCUGAGGCUUAAAAGCGCCAACGCAUGACAUCAUCUAACACACGUGCGCAAACACGCGGCUUGUGGGUCGAGUGUUAAUGGCGUCCUGAGAAAAGACUGAUUACAGACUGAGUGCACGUGCUAUCAUUAUGUAUAGUGACUUGAAGUUAACGUUUCAGCCUCCUGUAGCCGGGUCUUUUCGUUUUACUGGGUACAAGGCCAUUGUACAUCUGAAAACUACUACAAGGGCAAAGGAUGCAGGAUGGAGAAACACUUCUAAUCGCGGUUACUAUGAGUCCUAGAUGCAGAACCAAAACUCCAGGGGGUGGAGCUGGACCAGAUCCAACUCCUCCUCCGAACCCUAACUUAGGAGAUGCUGUACAACACGGAACAAGAAACCCUUUGACUUGUCCACACACACCGGAUGUUUGGUCCAGCUUUACCAAGGUAGGAGGAGCUGAUCAGGUCCGACUCCACCCCCUUAACUUUUGGUCCUACAGCGAGGGGUACUUUUGCUUUGCACCAAUUUUAUCUAGCUAAUGCAUGCUAGGCUUUUCUUUUCAGCAAUGUCAGCACCAUAACAAUGGCUCAAUAAUUCACGUAGCCUUUUUGCUGACACUUCGUUAAUUUGCUUGAAAUUUCCCACACACCGAGAAGGACACAGAUCCGGAGUCUGUCUGAUAGACCUGCUCCUCUUCAGCCUGUCCCCGCUAUUAGGGACACUCUGUCUGAGAGCAGAAGCCAGAGAUAGACAGGCUUUUGUUCACACGCGCAUGAUUGUCCUCGUUCUCACUCUGCCGCUUGUCUUUGCUGUGGUCACGAUGGAAGGAGAUUACAGACCACAAGCAGCGAGCAGCUAAGUCGGCUUGACCCGGGAUACCCCCACGCUUAUCAUGUCUGCAGUGUCCUCUUCUCUCCUCUUCUCUCCUCUUCUCUUCCUGUUUCAUUCAGUGGUCAGGGAUGCUUAAGGUAUCUACUGGGAGUGUUUGUUGGAUUCGGAUGGAAACUGAGCCCCAGGUGGGUGAUGGGCGUGUCUUGUUUUCUAGUCUAGAUUUCUCUCCACCUCUUGCUUGAGGGUGUCGUGGCACUCCAGUUUCGACCGUGAUGGGGGUGACCUUGACAAGACGUUGCUAAUGUGAGACGGAGGAAAGGGGCUGGGCGUUCCAGUGGGUCAGUUAAUAUUGGAGAGUUCAGAACACCUAUGCAACUGUUAAUCAUUCAAGAUUCAAAAGUUGACUGGCUCAUGUGCUGUUUUCACGGUGGACUGAGUGAUAACUCGUAAUGGCAUAUCCUCUUAGGAUAGUUGUGUCUACUUGAACAAAAAACGGUCUAACCUGCAACCAAGUGCUAACCUGGAACUUAUGACAUUUACAAACCGUCUUCGCUUCUUAUUGGGCAGCGGUAGCUCAGUGGUUAAGAUUGGAAGGUUGCGAGUUCAAACCCCAGCAAUUCCAAGCCUCCAGUUCUGGGCCCUUACCCCUCAACCGCUCUGUUGUAGAAACCAGAUAAAUGUAAGUCACUCUGGAUAAGGACGUCUGCCAUAAAUGUAAAUGUUUUUUUUUUUAUUUAUUUUUUUUUUACAGAACCCCAAACAGAGGUAAUUCUCACCAGACUGAUCCGUACUAGUUAACCCUUCAGGAACGCCCUAGUAGAUUAAGGGUUAACACCAGGCACGCUUUCCUUUCCCAUGGGAGUGUGGUGGUGUUGACGAGGGGCUCCGUUUGUUAGCAGCUAAUCGCCUUCCUCACGGAUGAGUGGCUCCUGAAAGUGACUCAGAAAAAUGAUCGGAUGGAUGGCCCUGUUGACACGAGCGUGUGAAACCCCCCCAAAAAAAAGAAGCCCAGAGUAAUCUCACUUCCUUCCUGUUCGGUCUGGGAAACCGGGUUGAUCAUUGGUCCUCGUUGGCACCUGGCUCUUCCCCGAUAGGCCAACGGUGCAUGUCAUCCUAUCAGCUCUGUCUAUUUAGAAGGAAAAAAAAAACGAAAGAAUGUCGUGGACAGAAAAGCGCCCGAAGCCUGCCGCCCACGGGCAUGAGAGGAAAAGCUGACGCUGGGAUUUUAGAGGAAAGAUCUCACUCGAACACACAAUGGCUACCAAACAGGAAGUGGCAGAACAAUCUUUCGCCCACUCCGGCCGUGUUGUGACCUCCAGGGCUGCAGCAGCGAUAACCCGGCAUUCCUGAAACCUCGCUGGGUAGGACGCUGGGAGCUUUCUCUUGCUCCCGGGUCACCGGAGGUCACCUUCCUGCUUCUUUUACGGCUGUAAAUCAGUCGCGCUCCUUGUAUUCGUUCAGUCUACAUCAUUUAACAAAUAUUAGUCAAUGAGCUGAGAUGACGUACAAUGUGCGAGACUCCCAGUUUUACACCGGAACACUUUAACACUGUACAAGCUUUCACAGUCUUCAAAACAUUUACAAUGCAACGACAGUUUGAAUAAUUAGAUGGGAUUGCAACAACUUAAUGACGAUUUCUCACACAGCUAAAGAGCUUAUGGUUUGAAAUAAUAUAUUGGCGAAUAAAUAACGGAAUGAAAACAGCACUCAGACUUUUGGACGCUACCGUACGUCCACCCCUGGGAUGUCACAGGAUGAAGUGAAGUGUUGUAGAAACCGGGGCGAAAAAAAGCUGACCUCCUGAAAGUUCACCUCCGUGUCCUCAAUAAAACUCCCUAACGCUACGCCCCACCCCUUCCUGUUCCAGUUUCCGACUCGGCUGUACCUCGUAUCUCCCACUUUCCUCUUGUCCUUGUCAUGUUUAUUUGCGGAGGGCAUUGUGUGCUUGUUAGCCGUGAUGUAUUGUCUUCAUCCUGCUAAACAAUGCUGCCGAUUGCUUCCUGGGAAUGUUUAAGGACACGGACACAGGCGUCCUCCGUCUUGGUGCGAACUCGCAUGGCCUCGGUGUCACGUAAUAACUCGCGCUGUACUUACCUCCGUGCUGACUAGUUCAUGAAUAACCGGAGAACCGAUACGUUUUGUUUUGUCCUCGCAGAAUCCGACAGCUCCAGAGGAAACGCGUGGGAUCUUGUACAGGAAAUGGACGCGAACAGGGGAGUAACGAAGACUUUGAUAACAGGAAAUGAUUCAUUCAAAAUGUCAAAACCGGUAUUAAAAGGAAUAAAAUAAUAAUUGAUGAGACACGGAAAUCAGGGAUUCCUGGCCAUGUGAAUCUAAUCAUAAGAGAGGAUCGAUGAUCCUUCACUUCAGUCUUGGAAUGAUCAAAGUCCCUGACUUUGAGACAUGGAUACGGGCGGGAUAUGGUCCUGGGGCGGCUGUGGAUCAGGUGGUAGAGCGGGUUGUCCAGUUAUCGUAGGGUUUGCGGUUCGAUUCCCGGCUCACGUGACUCCACAUACCGAAGUGUCCUUGGGCGAGACCCUGAACCCCAAGUUGCUCCCGAUGGCAAGUUAGCGCCCUGCAUGGCAGCUCUGCUCCCAUUGGUGUGUGAGUGUGUGUGUGAACGGCUGAAUGAGUGUAAAGCGCUUUGUAGAACCGCCAAGGUUAAAAAAAAAAGCGCUACAUAAAUGCAGACCAUUUACUGUAAGCUCACGUCACCUUAAGCGACACAAUGAAUAAUAAUUUGUGGCUUGUGAAAUAUUAAUAUGCGGUUUGAAUAUGUUCAUUUGUGUAACCACCAUGUCACCUCAGAUGCGUCUUCAUUUCCUUUUCAGAACGUUUCUGGUCUGAAUUCCGAACACGCGCGAUCGGAAGUGCGCGUCAUGUUUCCAGACGAUCAUAAACGAUGCUCCGUUGCAUGUCACACACUGUUAAACGAUGCUCGUUACACACUCGCGAGUGAGCAGGCGGCGUUUUCGGGGCAGUGUUUGUGUUCUCUUAUUCAGAAAGAACCUGUUUUUUCGCUCGGAAGGCAGACAAACCGUCACAACCUGGGUCUGGGUUUUAGGAAUCCGAAUAUGAGACGGGACUACAUGAAGAAAAAGUGGCCAAGGUGAACACGUCAUGCGUGCGCUGACAGGGGGUCAGAGGUCAUGAGGCAAAAGCAACAGCCACCUGGAGAUGCGGAUUAAUUUGGGAUUAUCGCUCGGG